Molecule: long non-coding RNA, 3549 nt
Organism: Gadus chalcogrammus (walleye pollock)
Lineage: Eukaryota; Metazoa; Chordata; Actinopteri; Gadiformes; Gadidae
Exons: 3
Source: RefSeq, a predicted model, not a curated record
AGAGUCCUGAGUAUGAGAAGGUUACACCAACGAGGAUUUCUAAGUGGCGCUUCCAGGUACUGCUUGAAGGCGAGGGGGCCUAUGAGUGUUUGGCUACAGGUCUGGUGUUUGAAGUGUCGGAGCAGGCUCUGGUCCGCUACUCGGUCCUGUCCUGGUCUGAAUCCUCUAAGUUCCUCCAUGACUCCUGGAGACCUGCUGGAUCGGUUUAUGAUGUGGAUGUGGUCAACAAGGAUCCAUCUGUGCUCAAGUUUAUCCAUUUCCCACACUCUUUGUGCCUUGCUGAACCGGAGCAUGAGCUGAGCUUCAGUGUUCUGCAUGUAAAGGAUCGCCAUGCCAACAUUGAGUCGACGGUGGACUUCAUGGCGAGCCAUGUUAAAUGGAGCGUUUCCUCGCUUUCUCCUCCUGGGUCUCAUCCUUCCGAGCAGUCUGCAGGUGAAGCACCAUGCGUUGGUGCUGAUUUACAAGGAGCGGAUCACAUACCAAAAAAAGAUAUCAAUCUUCCACGUGUUUUUGGCCUGGAACAACGUCUCUGUUAGGCCUUUCACACCAAAAAGAACCAAGAGCCAGUUCCGGGCUGGUGCUAGGGCCAGUUCAAGACUGGUUCCAGCCUUAUCCCAGUCAUGAACCAGUUGGUUUCACAUCGGCCAGAGCCAGCCAUGGAGCCGGCGAGAGCAACGUCAUGACGUCACUGCAAACGUCUGCAUACAUCUCCGCUUUCAAAGAUAGCCUUUGUCCGGGUUGCUCCCUCUAACUUCUUCUUGACCUCGGAAGAAGACCAGAAUCCAAGGAGACAGGUUGUCUCCUCCACGGUCCACUGCGUUUUCAUCUUCACGUCCAUUGUUUACUUCAGUGUUUUUAAAAAAGGCCGGUCUUCGUUGGUCUUCCUGUUUAUGAAGGUAAGGAUAACCCCGCCCCCUGCCCCUGGCGUAAAGGCAGUUCUCUUUCUAGCCCAGCACAAUCCUGGGUUUGGAGUUGAACCGUUUUUUACAGGCCGGAGGCGGUUCUCUGGCAUUGUGAAACCAAAACACUGGCUCCUGCUCCAAACUAGCCCGGAACGGGCUCCGGUUUUGCGGCGGUGUGAAAGGCCCAUGAGAUCCAGGUGAUGAAGCAAAACGGAUGAGAGUCCCUGUGUGUUGAUAAACCGGAUAAACGGACAGACUACACUAAACUAAGGCUAUGCUAAGAUGAAAAAUUAGAAAUUGUUAAUAAAUUGUUGGCAUCUAAGGGAUUUUUUGAAGUACGCUUCAGUGAGCGUCCUCCUUUCGAAUUGUUUCUGAAGGACUCUGACUCUGAUGAGCCUUUGUGGUCUGCUACAAUCAGAGAAGGAAACCAAUGGACACAACUGGAAUUGUUUUUGUGGUUUGCAUCGUAAGACUCUGAUGAUCUUUUCUGUGACAAAUUCUAGAGGAUUGGAAAUUCAAGAUGAAACCAAGGGUAAAAACAAGACGUAGGUUAUUACCUUUGAAGAAGACCCAAGUGGCAAACACCAGACCGGGAGAUACAUUUUUCUUUGUUAUGCUGUGUUCUUUGGAUCAUUGUUGGUGUUCCAAUCGGAUAGUAGGAUUAUAAGGCACGUUUAAUCAGCCAUAACAUCCCCCUUCUCUUCAGGAGAGCAGAGCCAAGGACAAAAGAGCAGUCAGUCAGUCAGGUGAGUCAUGGAAGAUGUUUAAACUAUUAAACGUUGUGUUGCAUCGAGCCAAAACAUUAAUAUUAAUAAAAGCUACUGUUGUUGACCAGUAAUCAAUGUAUUGUUAAAGGGAUACUUCACCGGUGGAGAUAUGAAGGUUAUAUGAACUAAAUAAUUCUAUGUAUUACAAAUGUGCAAAAGAAAUGAAAUGAAAUGGGUUCAUCCUAGCCUGAGAAAAGGCAAAAAGUGUCUCUCUGGCUCUCAAGUAAGAAAUCCUCCAACUACCACAGUGCAUUGCGCUGGCUGCACCGCCCGCCUGUUUCCGUUUGUAGGGGGAAGGACACGUGGUACUAGCACGAGUGGUAGCGCGAGCAAACUUUGAGUAAACAUAUCCCCGUGAUGAUACGUUCUAGUUUAGACUUCUGCCCCCGUUUUUUCAACCGCAUCAUUUGUAUAUUACUGUACAGCAUAAAAACAUUUGCUAAUUACAGUAGCUCAACAUAUCAAGUAUUUGUACUCAAACUUUUCUCCCCAGUUGAAAUAAGUGUUUAUCUUAUACAGUAGGCAUACUUUAGUAUAACAGCACUUGGGUAAGUAAACAAAUCACAACAACCAACACGAAUUUGAAGUUUUGCUAAUUUUGUGUGUGACAAAGUGGGGGUGAAAAACGGUUUUAUAUUUACCCCAAUAAAGAAGUUUAAUUAAUCAUCUAUCGUGAUUGCACGCCAUCAUUAGGUAUUCAGAGUAUCUGUUGAUAUGUAAGGUUAUUUCAUAUUGCCUUUUUAUUCCAGGGGAACUUCAAAGGAUCUAUUCUGAAUGUGUGCAGAGAGUUUCAAUCCCAGUUAUCAGAGGUCUCCUGGAUGACCUUUGGUAGCAGAAAGUGUUCAGUACUGAGGACAAGGACACUGUGAUGGAGAACCACAAGAUCAGAGCGGACCGAGCACGGAGUCUGAUUGACAUGGUGAUCAGACAGAGGGACCUUGAAUUAUGCAUCACCUUGGGCCUGAUCUCUUCUCCCUAAGUAAUUUUAGUCAUUUUAAAGAAACUCACUGCCAACUUUGUUUUGACAAGACAAGCUGAAAAAGUAAUUGCUGCUGUCCAUUUCAGAAUAGGUCCUCCUUCCUGGGCUACUACAUGUGUACCAAGCUGUUCCCCUCAGGUACCUCCUAUAUCCAAGUAUAGAUAGGAAUUUUGUUACAUUUUAUUAAAAUAAUUUUAGUAUGGUUGUUAUCAUGGAGUUUAAUAAAUAAAGUUGAUUAUGCCAAAGAAAGAAAAGAUUUUUGCUUAUCUGGACAUUUGUAACAAUCCACUGAAUUUUAUUAGGGUUGGAUUUUUAUUUAUUUAUUAUUUUAUAAUUUUUUAUAUGUUAUCAUGGAUAUGACUAAAAUCCAACUUGCGGGGUUUCACAAUAACAUUAGCCUGACCAGGGCCCCGUUUCCCGACAACGAUGGAUCCACGCUCGUACGAUCAUUCUCACGAUGGAUCUUGCGAUCCAUCGUCAAUUUCUUUGGAGCGUUUCCCCGAAACUCCUCUUAACAUGAACGCGCGCGUUCACUGCACUCACAACUUUUGUAGGAUUGUAACUGUCUACGGACACGGUGCUGAAAUGUGCUCCAUAGGAGGGGGAGACGCAGGAAUGUCGCAGGAAAAUGGGGUUAAAAAAUCACACCAUCAAGGCCAACAGCAGAGUAGCAUACGAAAAGAAUAGACUGCUUAUAUGAAUGCUAAAGAUAUUAAAACACAAUUGAUUAGGCCUAGGCCGACCUAUGCAUCAGUCCUAAUCCUGAAUGCAGUGUGCAUACAUUUUUUCACGGCAUUUCCCCCCCUGGAAUAAUUCCAUAUUAACAAAAAUCAAAAAUAGCUUGUGUGACAACUACAUGUAUCUUAAUGUGCUGAUUUCUGAAACGUGCUUUGCACAGCAA